GCCGACAUAGCUCAGGGGUAGAGCAACUGAUUCGUAAUCAGUAGGCCCUCGGUUCAAUUCCGAGUGUCGGCACCA
Molecule: transfer RNA, 75 nt
Filed under: Novacetimonas hansenii
Lineage: Bacteria; Pseudomonadati; Pseudomonadota; Alphaproteobacteria; Acetobacterales; Acetobacteraceae
Also listed under: 58 other names
Description: Komagataeibacter hansenii tRNA-Thr(cgt)
Rfam family: tRNA
About the family: Transfer RNA (tRNA) molecules are approximately 80 nucleotides in length. Their secondary structure includes four short double-helical elements and three loops (D, anti-codon, and T loops). Further hydrogen bonds mediate the characteristic L-shaped molecular structure. tRNAs have two regions of fundamental functional importance: the anti-codon, which is responsible for specific mRNA codon recognition, and the 3' end, to which the tRNAs corresponding amino acid is attached (by aminoacyl-tRNA synthetases). tRNAs cope with the degeneracy of the genetic code in two manners: having more than one tRNA (with a specific anti-codon) for a particular amino acid; and 'wobble' base-pairing, i.e. permitting non-standard base-pairing at the 3rd anti-codon position.
Source: RNAcentral